RNAcentral lists this ribosomal RNA (491 nucleotides) under uncultured bacterium. RNAcentral describes it as "partial 16S ribosomal RNA". It matches the Rfam family "Bacterial small subunit ribosomal RNA", at positions 29 to 506 of the family's 1533-position model. The record is from RNAcentral.
AGUGAACGCUGGCGGUAUGCCUAACACAUGCAAGUCGAACGGCAGCACAGUAAUAGCUUGCUCUUACGGGUGGCGAGUGGCGGACGGGUGAGGAAUACAUCGUAAUCUACUUUUUCGUGGGGGAUAACGUAGGGAAACUUACGCUAAUACCGCAUACGACCUACGGGUGAAAGCAGGGGAUAUUCGGACCUUGCGCGCAUGAAUGAGCCGAUCUCCGAUUAGCUAGUUGGCGGGGUAAAUGCCCACCAAGGCGACGAUCCCUAGCUGGUCCGAGAGCAUGAUGCGCCACACAGGAACUGACAGACGGCCCUGAGUCCUACGGGAGGCAGCAGUGGGGAAUGUUGGAAACAGGGCGGAAGCCUGAUCAAGACACACCGGGUGGGUGAAGCAACCCUUCGUGUUGUAAAGCCCUUUUGUUGGGAAAGACAAGGAGCAGGUUAAAACCACGCUGUUCUGCCGGAACCCAAAGAAAAAGCACCGGCUACCAUCGG